GCAGGCCUAACACAUGCAAGUCGAGCGGCAGCGGGAAGAUAGYUURCUAUCUUUGCCGGCGAGCGGCGGACGGGUGAGUAAUGCCUAGGGAUCUGCCCAGUCGAGGGGGAUAACAGUUGGAAACGACUGCUAAUACCGCAUACGCCCUACGGGGGAAAGGAGGGGACCUUCGGGCCUUCCGCGAUUGGAUGAACCUAGGUGGGAUUAGCUAGUUGGUGAGGUAAUGGCUCACCAAGGCGACGAUCCCUAGCUGUUCUGAGAGGAUGAUCAGCCACACUGGGACUGAGACACGGCCCAGACUCCUACGGGAGGCAGCAGUGGGGAAUAUUGCACAAUGGGGGAAACCCUGAUGCAGCCAUGCCGCGUGUGUGAAGAAGGCCUUCGGGUUGUAAAGCACUUUCAGUAGGGAGGAAAGGUAGCAGCUUAAUACGCUGUUGCUGUGACGUUACCUACAGAAG
This 458-nucleotide ribosomal RNA is filed under the name gamma proteobacterium BAL201. RNAcentral's name for it is "bacterial SSU rRNA". It matches the Rfam family "Bacterial small subunit ribosomal RNA", at positions 42 to 487 of the family's 1533-position model. The record is from RNAcentral. Lineage: Bacteria; Pseudomonadati; Pseudomonadota; Gammaproteobacteria.